This 1476-nucleotide ribosomal RNA is filed under the name uncultured bacterium. Its description in RNAcentral is "partial 16S ribosomal RNA". It matches the Rfam family "Bacterial small subunit ribosomal RNA". The record is from RNAcentral.
AGAGUUUGAUCCUGGCUCAGGACUAACGCUGGCGGUAUGCCUUAGACAUGCAAGUCGAACGAGUUUCCGGGCUUGCUCGGAAACUAGUGGCGAACGGCUGAGUAACGCGUAGGUGACCUACCCCGUAGUGUGGAAUAACUGCCCGAAAGGGUAGCUAAUACCGCAUGUUGAGCCGACAUCAAUGUCGUCUCCAAAGCAGAAAUGCGCUAUGGGCGGGGCCUGCGUUCGAUUAGCUAGUUGGUGGGGUAAUGGCUCACCAAGGCGACGAUCGAUAGGUGGUCUGAGAGGACGAUCACCCAGACUGGGACUGAGACACGGCCCAGACUCCUACGGGAGGCAGCAGUCGGGAAUUUUGCGCAAUGGGGGAAACCCUGACGCAGCAAUACCGCGUGUGGGAUGAAGGCCUUCGGGUCGUAAACCACUUUUUUCGGGGACGAUAAUGACGGUACCCGAAGAAUAAGCCACGGCUAACUACGUGCCAGCAGCCGCGGUAAUACGGGAGUGGCAAGCGUUAUCCGGAAUUAUUGGGCGUAAAGCGUCCGCAGGCGGCCUCGUAAGUCUGUCGUUAAAGCGUGGAGCUUAACUCCAUUUCAGCGAUGGAAACUGUGAGGCUAGAGCGUGGUAGGGGCAGAGGGAAUUCCCGGUGUAGCGGUGAAAUGCGUAGAUAUCGGGAAGAACACCAGUGGCGAAGGCGCUCUGCUGGGCCAUAACUGACGCUCAUGGACGAAAGCCAGGGGAGCGAAAGGGAUUAGAUACCCCUGUAGUCCUGGCCGUAAACGAUGAACACUAGGUGUCGGGGGAAUCGACCCCCUCGGUGUCGUAGCCAACGCGUUAAGUGUUCCGCCUGGGGAGUACGCACGCAAGUGUGAAACUCAAAGGAAUUGACGGGGGCCCGCACAAGCGGUGGAGUAUGUGGUUUAAUUCGAUGCAACGCGAAGAACCUUACCAGGGUUUGACAUCCUGCGAAUCCCUUGGAAACGAGGGAGUGCCUUCGGGAGCGCAGAGACAGGUGGUGCAUGGCUGUCGUCAGCUCGUGUCGUGAGAUGUUGGGUUAAGUCCCGCAACGAGCGCAACCCACGUCUUUAGUUGCCAGCAUUCAGUUGGGCACUCUAGAGAGACCGCCGGUGAUAAACCGGAGGAAGGUGUGGAUGACGUCAAGUCAUCAUGCCCCUUACAUCCUGGGCUACACACGUACUACAAUGCUACGGACAAAGGGCAGCAAACUCGCGAGAGCUAGCAAAUCCCAUAAACCGUGGCUCAGUUCAGAUCGUAGGCUGCAACUCGCCUACGUGAAGGAGGAAUCGCUAGUAAUCGCAGGUCAGCAUACUGCGGUGAAUACGUUCCCGGGCCUUGUACACACCGCCCGUCACACCAUGGAAGUUGGCCACGCCCGAAGUCGUUACUCCAACCCUUGUGGAGGAGGACGCCGAAGGUGGGGCUGAUGACUGGGGUGAAGUCGUAACAAGGUAGCCGUAA